This 490-nucleotide ribosomal RNA is filed under the name uncultured bacterium. RNAcentral's name for it is "partial 16S ribosomal RNA". It matches the Rfam family "Bacterial small subunit ribosomal RNA", at positions 28 to 507 of the family's 1533-position model. The record is from RNAcentral.
GAUGAACGCUAGCGAUAGGCUUAACACAUGCAAGUCGAGGGGCAGCAUGGUCUUAGCUUGCUAAGACUGAUGGCGACCGGCGCACGGGUGCGUAACGCGUAUGCAACUUGCCUCACAGAGGGGGAUAACCCGUCGAAAGACGGACUAAUACCGCGUACACUUGGGAUAGGGCAUCCUGACCCAAGGAAAUGAAAUUCGCUGUGAGAUAGGCAUGCGUCCCAUUAGCUAGUUGGUGAGGUAACGGCUCACCAAGGCGACGAUGGGUAGGGGAACUGAGAGGUUGAACCCACACACUGGUACUGAGACACGGACCAGACUCCUACGGGAGGCAGCAGUGAGGAAUAUUGGUCAAUGGGCGAGAGCCUGAACCAGCCAAGUCGCGUGAAGGAUGACUGUCUUAUGGAUUGUAAACUUCUUUUAUACGGGAAUAACAAGAGCCACGUGUGGCUCCCUGCAUGUACCGUAUGAAUAAGCAUCGGCUAACUCCGUG